AGAGUUUGAUCCUGGCUCAGAUUGAACGCUGGCGGCACGCUUAACACAUGCAAGUCGAACGGUAGCAUGCUGCAGACCAGAGAGGGCAUUGAGGAAGUGUCUUGUCUGGUCUGUAGUGAUGACGAGUGGCGGACGGGUGAGUAACGCGUAGGAACCUACCUUGUAGAAUGGGAUAACACGGGGAAACUCGUGCUAAGACC
RNAcentral lists this ribosomal RNA (200 nucleotides) under uncultured bacterium. Its description in RNAcentral is "partial 16S ribosomal RNA". It matches the Rfam family "Bacterial small subunit ribosomal RNA", at positions 8 to 170 of the family's 1533-position model. The record is from RNAcentral.